RNAcentral lists this ribosomal RNA (401 nucleotides) under uncultured bacterium. RNAcentral's name for it is "bacterial SSU rRNA". It matches the Rfam family "Bacterial small subunit ribosomal RNA", at positions 29 to 416 of the family's 1533-position model. The record is from RNAcentral.
AAUCAACGCUGGCGGCGUGCCUAACACAUGCAAGUCGAACGCGAAAGUCCCGCAAGGGGCAAGUAGAGUGGCAAACGGGUGAGUAACGCGUGGGCGACCUACCUUCGAGUGGGGGAUAACCUUCCGAAAGGAGGGCUAAUACCGCAUGACAUCCCGUGUUUGGAUACACGGACAUCAAAGCCGGGGAUCGCAAGACCUGGCGCUUGGAGAGGGGCCCGCGUCCGAUUAGCUAGUUGGUGGGGUAACGGCUCACCAAGGCUCCGAUCGGUAUCCGGCCUGAGAGGGCGGACGGACACACUGGGACUGAGACACGGCCCAGACUCCUACGGGAGGCAGCAGUGGGGAAUUGUUCGCAAUGGGCGCAAGCCUGACGACGCAACGCCGCGUGGAGGAUGAAGACC